GUUGUAGCUCAGUGGCAGAGCACUUGCCUAGCAUGUGUGAGGCCCUGGGUUCAAUUCUCAGCAUUACA
This 68-nucleotide transfer RNA is filed under the name Marmota monax (woodchuck). RNAcentral describes it as "tRNA.Ala". The stretch from base 3 to 63 matches the Rfam family "tRNA", at positions 6 to 65 of the family's 71-position model. From Rfam's summary of the family: Transfer RNA (tRNA) molecules are approximately 80 nucleotides in length. Their secondary structure includes four short double-helical elements and three loops (D, anti-codon, and T loops). Further hydrogen bonds mediate the characteristic L-shaped molecular structure. tRNAs have two regions of fundamental functional importance: the anti-codon, which is responsible for specific mRNA codon recognition, and the 3' end, to which the tRNAs corresponding amino acid is attached (by aminoacyl-tRNA synthetases). tRNAs cope with the degeneracy of the genetic code in two manners: having more than one tRNA (with a specific anti-codon) for a particular amino acid; and 'wobble' base-pairing, i.e. permitting non-standard base-pairing at the 3rd anti-codon position. The record is from RNAcentral. Lineage: Eukaryota; Metazoa; Chordata; Mammalia; Rodentia; Sciuridae.